UCGACAAUAGUUUACUCAAAAUAUUAGAUUGUGAUUCUAAAGAAUAAGGACCUACCCUUAUGUCGAC
RNAcentral lists this transfer RNA (67 nucleotides) under Ophiura luetkenii. RNAcentral's name for it is "tRNA-His". The record is from RNAcentral. Lineage: Eukaryota; Metazoa; Echinodermata; Ophiuroidea; Amphilepidida; Ophiuridae.